Molecule: ribosomal RNA, 676 nt
Filed under: Cladotanytarsus isigacedeus
Lineage: Eukaryota; Metazoa; Arthropoda; Insecta; Diptera; Chironomidae
Description: partial large subunit ribosomal RNA
Rfam family: Eukaryotic large subunit ribosomal RNA
Source: RNAcentral
UGUCUAGGGGCUCAAACCUAAAGAACCCAAAUAUCUAAACGGAGAGAUUCAAUACUGAACUUAACACUCAGUGUGCACUUCUCUCUUAGUAAGACGCCGUGAUCCAUUAGAAAUUGGUAGACACCAGUCUAUAUGAGGUCAUCAAUGAGCUUGCAUGAAGUUUAUCCGGAACAAAUGGCGCGAUCUUUCAACGGUUGUGUGUAUUGUCUGGUAAGCGUGCGAGUACUCGCAAUGACUGUCUGAUGGAUUUUAAAGAUUAUAUCAUUGAUGUUUCGGCAUCACUUGCAUUACGCAGUGUUCGAUAUAUAUCCGAUCAACGGCGGUUAAAUUUGGGAUACCUUUUGGACCCGUCUUGAAACACGGACCAAGGAGUCUAUCUAAUGUGCAAGUAAAUGGGUAGAUUAUGAAACCUAUUUGCGUAAUAAACGUAACUAUUUUAUGGGAUUACGAGAAUGGCUUGUAAAGGUCAUCUCUUCCAUCCCGGAGUAUUUUCAUCCACAUAUACGCAAGUAUAUGGAAAAUAUAUCAUGAGCAUAUUGGAUACGACCCGAAAGAUGGUGAACUAUGCUUGAUCAGGUCGAAGUCAGGGGAAACCCUGAUGGAGGACCGAAGCAGUUCUGACGUGCAAAUCGAUUGUCAGAAUUGAGCAUAGGGGCGAAAGACCAAUCGAACCAUC